Molecule: transfer RNA, 76 nt
Filed under: Candidatus Altimarinota bacterium
Lineage: Bacteria; Candidatus Altimarinota
Description: tRNA-Gly
Rfam family: tRNA
About the family: Transfer RNA (tRNA) molecules are approximately 80 nucleotides in length. Their secondary structure includes four short double-helical elements and three loops (D, anti-codon, and T loops).
Source: RNAcentral
GCGGGUGUAGCUCAAUGGCUAGAGCCUCUGCCUUCCAAGCAGACUGUUGUGGGUUCGAGUCCCAUCACCCGCUCCA